AUGGGCGGAAUGUCUUUCGAUGUGCCUCCUCGCACACAUUCCCAUGAAGAUACCGUUGAAGAUCUUGCCAACACCAUCGGAGCUUCACGUGAUGCGGUGCGUGAUGAGGAGAUGGAGGAAGAUUCAUCUUCGGAGGCGGAAGAAUCGUCUUCCGAAGAUGAGGACGAGGACGAAGACGAGGACGAGGAAUGA
RNAcentral lists this ribosomal RNA (192 nucleotides) under Triticum aestivum (bread wheat). RNAcentral's name for it is "partial small subunit ribosomal RNA". Lineage: Eukaryota; Viridiplantae; Streptophyta; Magnoliopsida; Poales; Poaceae. The record is from RNAcentral.